RNAcentral lists this ribosomal RNA (460 nucleotides) under uncultured bacterium. RNAcentral describes it as "partial 16S ribosomal RNA". It matches the Rfam family "Bacterial small subunit ribosomal RNA", at positions 338 to 795 of the family's 1533-position model. The record is from RNAcentral.
CCUACGGGUGGCAGCAGUGAGGAAUAUUGGUCAAUGGACGAGAAUCUGAACCAGCCAAGUAGCGUGAAGGAUGACUGCCCUAUGGGUUGUAAACUUCUUUUAUAUGGGAAUAAAAUGUUCCACGUGUGGGAUUUUGUAUGUACCAUAUGAAUAAGGAUCGGCUAACUCCGUGCCAGCAGCCGCGGUAAUACGGAGGAUCCGAGCGUUAUCCGGAUUUAUUGGGUUUAAAGGGAGCGUAGGUGGAUUGUUAAGUCAGUUGUGAAAGUUUGCGGCUCAACCGUAAAAUUGCAGUUGAAACUGGCAUUCUUGAGUACAGUAGAGGUGGGAGGAAUUCGUGGUGGAGCGGUGAAAUGCUUAGAUAUCACGAAGAACUCCGAUUGCGAAGGCAGUUCACUGGACUGCAACUGACACUGAGGCUCGAAAGUGUGGGUAUCAAACAGGAUUAGAUACCCGGGUAGUC